This 466-nucleotide ribosomal RNA is filed under the name uncultured bacterium. RNAcentral describes it as "partial 16S ribosomal RNA". It matches the Rfam family "Bacterial small subunit ribosomal RNA", at positions 28 to 507 of the family's 1533-position model. The record is from RNAcentral.
GACGAACGCUGGCGGCGUGCUUAACACAUGCAAGUCGAACGGUAAGGCUCCAGCUUGCUGGGGUACACGAGUGGCGAAAGGGUGAGUAACACGUGGGUGACCUGCCCUGCACUUCGGGAUAAGCCUGGGAAACUGGGUCUAAUACCGGAUAGGACCAUGGUGUGGAUACUGUGGUGGAAAGCUUUUUCGGUGUGGGAUGGGCCCGCGGCCUAUCAGCUUGUUGGUGGGGUAAUGGCCUACCAAGGCGGCGACGGGUAGCCGGCCUGAGAGGGUGGACGGCCACAUUGGGACUGAGACACGGCCCAGACUCCUACGGGAGGCAGCAGUGGGGAAUAUUGCACAAUGGGCGGAAGCCUGAUGCAGCGACGCCGCGUGGGGGAUGACGGCCUUCGGGUUGUAAACUCCUUUCACCAUCGACGAAGGGUUUCUGACGGUAGAUGGAGAAGAAGCACCGGCUAACUACGUG